CACCUCGCCGGCACCCAUCUCUCCCUCUCCACCGCCCUCUACGUCCACUCCCACUUCCAAUCCCUCGGCCUCACCGCCCACACCACAAACUUCUCCGCCCUUUUUUCUUCACAAGAAAAUCACCGUCGUGGCUCCAACUCCAAUUGCCAAUCCCAAACUCACAAAAACCAGUUCUCUCAAUAAGAUCCCCACAAACUAUUUCCCAACACCAAUUUCUUCCAAUCAAUUCAUGUUUUUUUUAAUCAAUUCUCUAACUCUAGUUAUCGCCGCUUCAAUUGUUAUCGCCUCUUUAGUUUAGCCACAAGAAAUCAUUCCUUCACGGGCGGCGGCUCGAUUUUGCGUUUCUAGUUGUCGACUUCUGGAUCUUGAUUUUUGGUCAUCAAUGGACGCUCUCGAUUUCUUCGUGGGCCACGACGUUUUUCUGUUGGGGAUGGAGGUUUAUAGCGGCGACGAUGGUAGCUGGUCGUCGAUGGCUAGUUGCGAAGAAGAAGAAGAUCCGUUCUUCCAAUUGCGAAGAACACAAAUAUAAUUCACAGAGAGAGUAUUCACUUUU
This 553-nucleotide long non-coding RNA is filed under the name Salvia miltiorrhiza (redroot sage). RNAcentral's name for it is "long non-coding RNA (SMIL_LNC003845)". The record is from RNAcentral. Lineage: Eukaryota; Viridiplantae; Streptophyta; Magnoliopsida; Lamiales; Lamiaceae.